CAUGCAGCCGAGCGGUAGAGAUCUUUCGGGAUCUUGAGAGCGGCGUACGGGUGCGGAACACGUGUGCAACCUGCCUUUAUCAGGGGGAUAGCCUUUCGAAAGGAAGAUUAAUACCCCAUAAUAUAUUGAGUGGCAUCACUUAAUAUUGAAAACUCCGGUGGAUAGAGAUGGGCACGCGCAAGAUUAGAUAGUUGGUGAGGUAACGGCUCACCAAGUCUGCGAUCUUUAGGGGGCCUGAGAGGGUGAUCCCCCACACUGGUACUGAGACACGGACCAGACUCCUACGGGAGGCAGCAGUGAGGAAUAUUGGACAAUGGGUGCGAGCCUGAUCCAGCCAUCCCGCGUGAAGGACGACGGCCCUAUGGGUUGUAAACUUCUUUUGUAUAGGGAUAAACCUACUCUCGUGAGAGUAGCUGAAGGUACUAUACGAAUAAGCACCGGCUAACUCCGUGCCAGCAGCCGCGGUAAUACGGAGGGUGCAAGCGUUAUCCGGAUUUAUUGGGUUUAAAGGGUCCGUAGGCGGAUCUGUAAGUCAGUGGUGAAAUCUCACAGCUUAACUGUGAAACUGCCAUUGAUACUGCAGGUCUUGAGUGUUGUUGAGUAGCUGGGAAUAAGUAGUGUAGCGGUGAAAUGCAUAGAUAUUACUUAGACACCAUUGCGAAGGCAGGUUACUAGCACACUGACGCUGAUGGACGA
RNAcentral lists this ribosomal RNA (696 nucleotides) under uncultured bacterium. RNAcentral's name for it is "bacterial SSU rRNA". It matches the Rfam family "Bacterial small subunit ribosomal RNA", at positions 54 to 756 of the family's 1533-position model. The record is from RNAcentral.